CUUGCCCCAUGGGAAGUCAUAUGUCAAGCCAAGAUGAAAACAAAGCUCAAAUCUGUCCCCGGAGAGGGUCCCUUGGCGGCUCUGUGGACCGCAGGUACUCGGGAGUCUGUUGCACUCAUCCGUGGGGUCUUCUUGUCCUCCACAGUGGAACAGUAUGGGGAGUUUGCCUCAACUACACAACGUGAGCCCUCAGCCCAGAACUUCCAGCAGCAGCCAGCCGCCAGCCACCAGCCACAAGGCUGGGAAGCCAGAGCAGCCACAGAGGAGCUGACUCCCCACUCUGGGCUCCACCACUGGCUCCAGCCCACACGGUGGACACCCAGGAUGAAACAAAGUGUUCUGUGUGCUCCUAAGAACCAACCGAAGUCCUUUUCAAGGGGAAAAAAUAUAUUGAUUGCUGAUAUCUGCAAUAAUGAACCCCAGCAAAUUACAGAUUACCUCUCUGAUGGCAGCUUGACAAAUGCCACCUCUGGAGAAGUCCACAGAUGUGCCAUUUGCAGGGCCUGUAUUAAACAUUCUCUCAAGACAGAUUUGAAAUAACUUUGGGGGUGAAAGUCUAAGUUGCACAGGCAUGAAAAUGACAGCGUGUGCUGUUGGAAUUAUAUAUCUGUGCACUAAUUCUCAUAUACAAUUAGAAUUGGAUGCCUCUGCUGCCAUGCCGUGUGCUGCUGUCAUUAGCAAUUACGUCGUAGCCGGUCUGAAUCUAUACUCAAAACCCUCAUCUACAUUUUUCUUAUGAGAUGCUGCGUAAGGGAAAUCGGCCCUUUAAGGAAACAGCGGGGACACUCGUCCUCUUUGACAGCCUCUCUGUGGCCGUGGAGGAUGCGGAAGGCCGCCUCACCCCUCUGCCCUUUCACCUGCUUCCCCUAGAUGUUCCAGGUUGGGGAUGGGCAGGGUGACACCGUCCAGGAGGGGCACAUGGCUGACAGGCUGCGGGGCGGGACAGGGUCCCCAAUCCAGCAGACACACAUCACUUUG
This 978-nucleotide long non-coding RNA is filed under the name Fukomys damarensis (Damara mole-rat). RNAcentral's name for it is "lncRNA (ENSFDAG00000021730.1)". Lineage: Eukaryota; Metazoa; Chordata; Mammalia; Rodentia; Bathyergidae. The record is from RNAcentral.